AUCGCUUCUCGGCCUUUUGGCUAAGAUCAAGUGUAAAUAGUUGUUAAAUUUUUUAGGGAAUAACAAGAAAAAAGUCUGUACGUGUUCAGUACAGACUAAACAUUUUUUCUGGACAUUUACGAUCCUAGGUUGGUUGAAUCCAU
This 143-nucleotide small nuclear RNA is filed under the name Nomascus leucogenys (northern white-cheeked gibbon). Its description in RNAcentral is "U2 spliceosomal RNA". It matches the Rfam family "U2 spliceosomal RNA". From Rfam's summary of the family: U2 is a small nuclear RNA (snRNA) component of the spliceosome (involved in pre-mRNA splicing). The record is from Rfam by way of RNAcentral. Lineage: Eukaryota; Metazoa; Chordata; Mammalia; Primates; Hylobatidae.